This 492-nucleotide ribosomal RNA is filed under the name uncultured bacterium. Its description in RNAcentral is "partial 16S ribosomal RNA". It matches the Rfam family "Bacterial small subunit ribosomal RNA", at positions 29 to 507 of the family's 1533-position model. The record is from RNAcentral.
AGUGAACGCUGGCGGUAGGCCUAACACAUGCAAGUCGAACGGCAGCACAGUAAGAGCUUGCUCUUACGGGUGGCGAGUGGCGGACGGGUGAGGAAUACAUCGGAAUCUACUUUUUCGUGGGUGAUAACGUAGGGAAACUUACGCUAAUACCGCAUACGACCUACGGGUGAAAGCAGGGGAUCUUCGGACCUUGCGCGAUUGAAUGAGCCGAUGUCGGAUUAGCUAGUUGGCGGGGUAAAGGCCCACCAAGGCGACGAUCCGUAGCUGGUCUGAGAGGAUGAUCAGCCACACUGGAACUGAGACACGGUCCAGACUCCUACGGGAGGCAGCAGUGGGGAAUAUUGCACAAUGGGCGCAAGCCUGAUCCAGCCAUACCGCGUGAGUGAAGAAGGCCUUCGGGUUGUAAAGCCCUUUUGUUGGGAAAGAACAGCAGCAGGUUAAUCCCCCGCUGUUCUGACGGUACCCAAAGAAUAAGCCCCGGCUAACUUCGUG